RNAcentral lists this transfer RNA (68 nucleotides) under Odontobutis sinensis. Its description in RNAcentral is "tRNA-Ser". Lineage: Eukaryota; Metazoa; Chordata; Actinopteri; Gobiiformes; Odontobutidae. The record is from RNAcentral.
GAGAGAGGCCUGCCGGCAAUGAAGACUGCUAAUCUUUAUCCCCUCGGUUGAAAUCCGAAGCUCACUCG